Molecule: microRNA precursor, 161 nt
Filed under: Paramuricea clavata
Lineage: Eukaryota; Metazoa; Cnidaria; Anthozoa; Malacalcyonacea; Plexauridae
Source: RNAcentral
GCCACUCCCACAAACGUCUACGACCGCGCCUACAUAGUUUUGCAUGUUUACAAUUCUAAUUUUGAACAGCCAAUCAGGUUCUUGGUAAUUGGCUGUUUAAAAUUACAAUUGUAAACGUGCAAAAGUAUGUAGGCGCGGUCGUAGACGUUUGUGGGAGUGGU